AUUCAGCUGACGAGUCCCUAAUAAGACGAAACGCAUAUCCUGAAU
This is a non-coding RNA of Schistosoma curassoni, 45 nucleotides long. The record is from Rfam. NCBI's taxonomy places the organism in Eukaryota, Metazoa, Platyhelminthes, Trematoda, Strigeidida, Schistosomatidae.